CCCAACGUGGACAUCCGGAGAAGUUGCUCUCUCUCGGCUCUGUCCGUGUGGCGCAGGGGAGCGUAGGCCUCCGGGCUCGUGACGUACAGUCCCGUUCCACGACGUUGGAGAUCAAGCUGGGCCUCGAGUCUGCAGCCUGCAUAUUCCUACUGCUUCUCUGAGCCUCCGGGCGGUUACAGAGGAGAGAAACCAUGCAGGAAACAGCUCUGCCACUCGGCAUGGCGCAGGGGGUAGGGACAGGGGUGGAAAGGAACGGGAGGAGCUCUUGAGGCAUCCCUUACAGCACCUCUUUAAACGCCGUUUUUCUGUUGGCAGAUACAAGCAUCCAGACUUCGGAGUGCCGUUGAAGUCGGAAGAAUAACUGGAUCGGGUUAAAGUGCUGGAAUCCCAGUGUGGGAUUUAUUGGUGUUGCUGAACAGCGAAAGCUUUGCUGGCUUCUAAGAUGCUGACUUUGGGAUGGAUGGGGGAAAAGGGGUCGAUUCCUGAAUCCUAGAAGGAGGUGAAGGUCUUGUGUGAAAGAUGACUUGAUUAGUCUGAGGCCAGCUUUGGGAGGUGUGGGAAUCAAGGAAAGAGGAGAAACUGCAACGUGACAAAGGCCCUGGUUUAGACUCCUGACCACCUUCAUGGUGGCUGAUAAGGAGAUAAAAGAAUCUUCCUGUCUAGCAGGGUGAGUAUGGAGUGCAGCAGCCCCAUCAGUAGAGGGGAUAGCUGAGGUUCAGUGCUUGCAGUCAAAAGGGGCUGGAAGCAGGGGAAGAUUCCAGCAUUUAUGGCCUGAUGGCACCUGCUGAGUGCUGGGGAUUGCCUGGUAAAUGGCCUCUGCCUGCAAACCACGGCUGGGAGUGGUGGGAUACACCCCAGGAGAGCACAUGGUGGAAUUAGUAUGCAGGCCCCUAAGAGGCACCAGUGGCUGGCAGUGCUCUGGGUGGCAGAGGAGAGCAAGACAAAGGCCACAUGCUGUGUGUGGGCAUCAGCUGGGCCCUGCCCAACAGCCCCCAUCAGGGGGGCCAUCCUUGAUCCCAGCUGCUGCGGAAGAUGUGACUUGACCCGGUGUGGUGGGGAGCUGAUCCUGGAGGAGUGGCUCAGAGGCUGUGGGUGAGCAGCAAUUUCUGCAUCUGUGUAACCUGAAUAAAGGUGUGAAGUUGUGUGGAGAGCUGAAUAAA
This is a long non-coding RNA of Indicator indicator, 1160 nucleotides long. RefSeq lists it as uncharacterized. The transcript is spliced from 3 exons. The record is from RefSeq and is a predicted model, not a curated record. NCBI's taxonomy places the organism in Eukaryota, Metazoa, Chordata, Aves, Piciformes, Indicatoridae.